CUGCAAACUUCAAAGACGUCGUGAAGACAAUAUUCAAGCGGUUGUUCCGUGUUUACACACACAUUUAUCACUCUCAUUUCCAGAAGAUUGUGAGCCUCAAGGAAGAAGCACAUCUCAACACCUGCUUCAAGCAUUUCAUUCUUUUCACUUAUGAGUUUGGGUUGAUCGACAAGAAGGAAAUCACCCCGCUGCAGGAGCUGAUUGAGUCCAUCGUUCUAUAAGUUUGUUGCUAAUCUAAAGCACUUAAAUGAUCUUUCAGGUAAUCAAUCUUAUUUCACUGCUAAGUUUCUCUCGAGUGGCUUGUAUGUUGAUGAUGCAUUGUUUAUUACACAUAAUUAAUGAGUAAAUAUUAAUAU
Zingiber officinale is the source of this 356-nucleotide long non-coding RNA. RefSeq lists it as uncharacterized. NCBI's taxonomy places the organism in Eukaryota, Viridiplantae, Streptophyta, Magnoliopsida, Zingiberales, Zingiberaceae. The transcript is spliced from 2 exons. The record is from RefSeq and is a predicted model, not a curated record.